This is a long non-coding RNA of Mustela putorius furo (domestic ferret), 2446 nucleotides long. The record is from Ensembl. NCBI's taxonomy places the organism in Eukaryota, Metazoa, Chordata, Mammalia, Carnivora, Mustelidae.
GUCUGUUUUGAACUCCCUCCAUAAAUCCCAGUGGGUAGCCACGUUGGAGAAGCCGCAGCUCUAGGCCAUUUCGAUUCGAGGGUGCAGAAUGAAACAGGUUUAGUUCACAUUCCAAAUCAGAAUCAUCCAAACAUAUCUGCUCCAGCUGGUGUGCCCACGUUGGGGGCCAGCGUAACUUCUGAGUGACGUCAGAGCUCAGACUUCACAUCCCUUGUAAAGGCUCAGAUAUUUGCGGACCAUUCUUUAGUGGCUGGGCUUGGAGGGGUGACUCCUGCUUGCAAUACAUUUGUUCGAAGUAAAACCGUGUUAUCCCAGGAAUGAAACCGGGGCUUUCACCAUCAAGGCCCCUUCGCUGGGAGACAGCACAGCCUUCCUUUGCACGCGGGCCAGCAUUCGCCGCAUAGCCAGUGAGCAUAUGUAACCCACUGAAUAAAAAUAGUGGUUAGCAUCACGGGCGGCAGGAAAGUAUGUCCCUUUUCUCAUUACAGUAAGGGAGCCUCAUGGCAUACCUCUCAGGAAACCUAAUAACGUGUUCUAUGACUUUUCCAUGGGCAGGAGCAACUGGUUAGGAAAUCAGAUACGAGACUUCUAGACAGUGACAUUCAAGCCUAGGACUCCAAGGGAGCCCGAACUGGCCGGAGUGUGGUCCCAGCGGGGUGGAAAUACCCCUCAAAGCAUACUGAGUGAAUUCCCGCGAUGCCAGGCCUCUCGGAAAAGUUUCUGGGGCUCGAAGGCCAUCGCAGCUGCCUCCUUGCCUUCCUCGCCGCCACUUGCUCAAGUGGAAAGAAUGUCUAAGGGGUGAGUUCCCGCAAUUCCCAGUUUAUACUGAUUCCCCGCCUGGGGAAGGCUUGGCCGGGCCCGGCCAGGAUGCAAACCGGGUUCCAGUCUGGGGCCUGUACUCCCAUCUCCGCUCUGCGCCACCCUUUGCUCGAAUUCCGGAUUGCCAAGGGCACGUGCAGGAUGCGUGAGGGGCAACGGGCAGGGGUGGGGACGACGAGAGGGUCAUCGCCAGCGCCGGGGGGCAUGUGGAGCUGGGAGAUACAGAAGGACAAGCUUCCAACACAAAGUCACGAGGGCGCUACUGCCCGCCGUCCUCGGCCCCGCUCGGGCUCCGUGUGCUCCUCACGGGGCACAGGUGUCACAGACCCGCUUCCUGCACCUGCGGGAGGACUCGGCCACAGCGCACAGACCCUUUUUUAUAUCUUGAGAGGCAGUUCACGGGACUUACACAAAUCUUUCUCAUUCGGCUUCUGUGUCCAGGGACGCGGGGCUGGCACGGGGUUUUACCUGCUGUUGUCGGAAGAAAACGCCAAGCGUCCUACGGGACCCGCUUCUCGUCCUGAGCCCGGACUCGCCCAUCCGAUUCCUGCUCGUUUGACGCCGAACAAACGAGCCGCAGCUUUCUUCUCUCUUUUCAUUGUUACCUAGGCCCAGGCUGCUACCUAGUCCUUAAACCAGACGGAUUGCACUUAAUUCCUGGCAAGGAGUGGGUCCUCGCAGCUGAAUGUUAUUCUAGUUUUAGGUUGUCAGUGCAACUUGGUAAUGUAUGAAAUUUAGCAUUGCUGCAUUUUAUUAAAAACGUGGACAGUGCAAGGGAACUACACAUGGUACAAAGCGGCUCGGCGAUUAAGUUAUGGGAACGAUCCGGAAUUAUUUCCAAGGGAUAUGUGUGCUUAACCUUUUCUGUUUAAAAGUAUGCAGUCCUGGGCGCCUGGAUGGCUCAGUGGGUUAAGCCUCUGCCUUCGGCUCAGGUCAUGGUGGGAUGAAGCCCCACAUCGGGCUCUCUGCUCGGCGGGGAGUCAGCUUCCCUUCCUCUCUCUCUGCCUACUUGUGAUCUCUCUCAAAUAAAUAAAAUCUUUAUUUAAAAAAAAAAAGAGUGAAAAAAGUAUGCAAUACUGUGAAUUAUGUGGAAAAUUGAGGUUAAAAAUUACUGUGGGUUUUGGUAUCAACUUAAUUGGAAUGUUUGUACUUACAGUUAACGAGAAUAUAAUAGAGAAGCAGACAUAGUAUGCAAAUAAGCCCAGAAGAUCUUUAAUGUACAACACACAACUAUUAUUGGAUGCUUAGUCAUGUGAAGGGCUCAACAACAACAAAAAAGGUACUAUCUCGUUUUUACGUAAUGGCAGUAUUUUAGUGGAAGCAUAAAGUGUACCAAAUCAAAGUAUAUGACAAAUAUUCUGAUUCUUUUUUUAAUUUAUUUAUUUUCAGCAUAACAGUAUUCAUUGUUUAUGCACCACCCCCAGUGCUCCAUGCAAUCCGUGCCCUCUCUAAUACCCACCACCUGGUACCCUGACCUCCCACCCCCCACCCCUUCAAAACCCUGAUUGUUAAUAGCAAUGGAUGCAAUUUUUAUUGCUGCUUCCUUUUGCAGCUUAAUUUAUAAAUUAAGAAUAAAAGGAGAAACACUGGCUUUUCUUUCACUUGAUUAUUCAAAGUGCAUGCGUGU